Long non-coding RNA from Eurytemora carolleeae, 191 nucleotides. RefSeq lists it as uncharacterized. The transcript has 3 exons. The record is from RefSeq and is a predicted model, not a curated record. NCBI's taxonomy places the organism in Eukaryota, Metazoa, Arthropoda, Copepoda, Calanoida, Temoridae.
UUCCUACUAUUUAAUUUUUCUGUGCUGGUUGCAUAGUAUGCUUAAACUGUCAGCAAUUAUGAUAAGGGUUGGAUUCACUAUAGGUCAACGAGAUGAUUUUUCUGAAAUUGAAAACAAUUCUUCAGAUUUCGAUAUGUUUACAAAAUGAAUAGAUUAAUUAAUAGAAAAAUUAAUAAAAUAUUUAAAUCUAA